Molecule: ribosomal RNA, 1356 nt
Filed under: uncultured bacterium
Lineage: Bacteria
Description: bacterial SSU rRNA
Rfam family: Bacterial small subunit ribosomal RNA
Source: RNAcentral
CCUGGCUCAGGACGAACGCUGGCGGCGCGCCUAACACAUGCAAGUCGAACGAGAGAUGAGGAGCUUGCUCUUCAGAUCGAGUGGCGAACGGGUGAGUAACGCGUGAGGAACCUGCCUCAAAGAGGGGGACAACAGUUGGAAACGACUGCUAAUACCGCAUAAGCCCACGGCUCGGCAUCGAGCAGAGGGAAAAGGAGCAAUCCGCUUUGAGAUGGCCUCGCGUCCGAUUAGCUGGUUGGUGAGGUAACGGCCCACCAAGGCGACGAUCGGUAGCCGGACUGAGAGGUUGAACGGCCACAUUGGGACUGAGACACGGCCCAGACUCCUACGGGAGGCAGCAGUGGGGAAUAUUGCACAAUGGGGGAAACCCUGAUGCAGCGACGCCGCGUGGAGGAAGAAGGUCUUCGGAUUGUAAACUCCUGUUGUUGAGGAAGAUAAUGACGGUACUCAACAAGGAAGUGACGGCUAACUACGUGCCAGCAGCCGCGGUAAAACGUAGGUCACAAGCGUUGUCCGGAAUUACUGGGUGUAAAGGGAGCGCAGGCGGGAGAACAAGUUGGAAGUGAAAUCCAUGGGCUCAACCCAUGAACUGCUUUCAAAACUGUUUUUCUUGAGUAGUGCAGAGGUAGGCGGAAUUCCCGGUGUAGCGGUGGAAUGCGUAGAUAUCGGGAGGAACACCAGUGGCGAAGGCGGCCUACUGGGCACCAACUGACGCUGAGGCUCGAAAGUGUGGGUAGCAAACAGGAUUAGAUACCCUGGUAGUCCACACCGUAAACGAUGAUUACUAGGUGUUGGAGGAUUGACCCCUUCAGUGCCGCAGUUAACACAAUAAGUAAUCCACCUGGGGAGUACGACCGCAAGGUUGAAACUCAAAGGAAUUGACGGGGGCCCGCACAAGCAGUGGAGUAUGUGGUUUAAUUCGACGCAACGCGAAGAACCUUACCAAGUCUUGACAUCCCUUGACGAACAUAGAAAUAUGUUUUCUCUUCGGAGCAAGGAGACAGGUGGUGCAUGGUUGUCGUCAGCUCGUGUCGUGAGAUGUUGGGUUAAGUCCCGCAACGAGCGCAACCCUUAUGGUCAGUUACUACGCAAGAGGACUCUGGCCAGACUGCCGUUGACAAAACGGAGGAAGGUGGGGAUGACGUCAAAUCAUCAUGCCCUUUAUGACUUGGGCUACACACGUACUACAAUGGCGUUAAACAAAGAGAAGCAAGACCGCGAGGUGGAGCAAAACUCAGAAACAACGUCCCAGUUCGGACUGCAGGCUGCAACUCGCCUGCACGAAGUCGGAAUUGCUAGUAAUCGUGGAUCAGCAUGCCACGGUGAAUACGUUCCCGGGCCUUGUACACACCGCCC